UCAGGCGAGAGAUCCCGCUGAACUUAAGCAUAU
RNAcentral lists this ribosomal RNA (33 nucleotides) under Pratylenchus thornei. RNAcentral's name for it is "partial 28S ribosomal RNA". The record is from RNAcentral. Lineage: Eukaryota; Metazoa; Nematoda; Chromadorea; Rhabditida; Pratylenchidae.